AAUUCGAUUAGAGUUUGAUCCUGGCUCAGAUUGAUUCGCUGGCGGCAUGCCUUACACAUGCAAGUCGAACGGCAGCACGGGAGCUUGCUCCUGGUGGCGAGUGGCGAACGGGUGAGUAAUACAUCGGAACGUACCCAGGAGUGGGGGAUAACGUAGCGAAAGUUACGCUAAUACCGCAUAUUCUGUGAGCAGGAAAGCGGGGGAUCGCAAGACCUCGCGCUCUUGGAGCGGCCGAUGUCGGAUUAGCUAGUUGGUGAGGUAAAAGCUCACCAAGGCGACGAUCCGUAGCAGGUCUGAGAGGAUGAUCUGCCACACUGGGACUGAGACACGGCCCAGACUCCUACGGGAGGCAGCAGUGGGGAAUUUUGGACAAUGGGGGCAACCCUGAUCCAGCCAUGCCGCGUGAGUGAAGAAGGCCUUCGGGUUGUAAAGCUCUUUCGGCGGGGAAGAAAUGGCAACGGCUAAUAUCCGUUGUUGAUGACGGUACCCGCAUAAGAAGCACCGGCUAACUACGUGCCAGCAGCCGCGGUAAUACGUAGGGUGCGAGCGUUAAUCGGAAUUACUGGGCGUAAAGCGUGCGCAGGCGGUUUCGUAAGACAGACGUGAAAUCCCCGGGCUCAACCUGGGAACUGCGUUUGUGACUGCGAGGCUAGAGUACGGCAGAGGGGGGUAGAAUUCCACGUGUAGCAGUGAAAUGCGUAGAGAUGUGGAGGAAUACCGAUGGCGAAGG
This 730-nucleotide ribosomal RNA is filed under the name uncultured bacterium. Its description in RNAcentral is "bacterial SSU rRNA". It matches the Rfam family "Bacterial small subunit ribosomal RNA", at positions 1 to 721 of the family's 1533-position model. The record is from RNAcentral.